This 253-nucleotide ribosomal RNA is filed under the name uncultured bacterium. RNAcentral's name for it is "partial 16S ribosomal RNA". It matches the Rfam family "Bacterial small subunit ribosomal RNA", at positions 524 to 776 of the family's 1533-position model. The record is from RNAcentral.
UACAGAGGGGGCAAGCGUUAUUCGGAAUUAUUGGGCGUAAAGGGCGCGUAGGCGGCUUGGCAAGUGGAAGGUGAAAUCCCUCGGCUUAACCGAGGAACUGCCCUCCAAACUGCUUCGCUUGAGGCCGGGAGAGGUGAGUGGAAUUCCCAGUGUAGCGGUGAAAUGCGUAGAUAUUGGGAGGAACACCAGUGGCGAAGGCGGUUCACUGGACCGGUACUGACGCUGAGGCGCGAAAGCGUGGGGAGCAAACGGG